Molecule: ribosomal RNA, 750 nt
Filed under: Bacillus sp. DJCJ40
Lineage: Bacteria; Bacillati; Bacillota; Bacilli; Caryophanales; Bacillaceae
Description: bacterial SSU rRNA
Rfam family: Bacterial small subunit ribosomal RNA
Source: RNAcentral
AGUGAUGAAGGUUUUCGGAUCGUAAAGCUCUGUUGUUAGGGAAGAACAAGUGCAAGAGUAACUGCUUGCACCUUGACGGUACCUAACCAGAAAGCCACGGCUAACUACGUGCCAGCAGCCGCGGUAAUACGUAGGUGGCAAGCGUUGUCCGGAAUUAUUGGGCGUAAAGGGCUCGCAGGCGGUUUCUUAAGUCUGAUGUGAAAGCCCCCGGCUCAACCGGGGAGGGUCAUUGGAAACUGGGAAACUUGAGUGCAGAAGAGGAGAGUGGAAUUCCACGUGUAGCGGUGAAAUGCGUAGAGAUGUGGAGGAACACCAGUGGCGAAGGCGACUCUCUGGUCUGUAACUGACGCUGAGGAGCGAAAGCGUGGGGAGCGAACAGGAUUAGAUACCCUGGUAGUCCACGCCGUAAACGAUGAGUGCUAAGUGUUAGGGGGUUUCCGCCCCUUAGUGCUGCAGCUAACGCAUUAAGCACUCCGCCUGGGGAGUACGGUCGCAAGACUGAAACUCAAAGGAAUUGACGGGGGCCCGCACAAGCGGUGGAGCAUGUGGUUUAAUUCGAAGCAACGCGAAGAACCUUACCAGGUCUUGACAUCCUCUGACAACCCUAGAGAUAGGGCUUUCCCUUCGGGGACAGAGUGACAGGUGGUGCAUGGUUGUCGUCAGCUCGUGUCGUGAGAUGUUGGGUUAAGUCCCGCAACGAGCGCAACCCUUGAUCUUAGUUGCCAGCAUUCAGUUGGGCACUCUAAGGUG